RNAcentral lists this long non-coding RNA (27605 nucleotides) under Triticum aestivum (bread wheat). RNAcentral's name for it is "long non-coding RNA (TAES_LNC020047)". The stretch from base 26786 to 26900 matches the Rfam family "MIR1120/MIR1122 microRNA precursor family". The record is from RNAcentral. Lineage: Eukaryota; Viridiplantae; Streptophyta; Magnoliopsida; Poales; Poaceae.
AUUGCAGUGCCAAAUAAAGAAAGUUUUCCGAGAAUUAACAGCAGGACAAUGGUCCGCUUGUUGUAUAUAAUAAAUAUCACACUGGUGUUGUAUAUGUGUAGCCGGUGCUAGAAUUUACAUAUGCAUGCUCCACAACCUAUGUUCGUACAAACACAGAUCAUACCGAACGAAAAAUAUGCUCUGGUCGGAAAGCAGAGUCCUGGACAAAAGUGAAGUUCACAAAAGACAAUCAUACAUAGGCCAUUGCUUCAACUCGUAGUUUAGGCCUUGCCAGACUCCUCGCAACCCGGUGGCCUGAAUGCGAUGAAGCUGACGCACUGCACCUGGCGCAGGUUGUCGAAGCCGAUGACGCGGACAUAGGCGUCAGGGUACUCCUUCUUGACCUCCUCCACCUCGUUGAGCACCUGCGUGGCGUCGGUGCACCCGAACAUAGGCAGCUUCCACAUUGUCCAGUAUCGGCCGUCGUAGUACCCGGGGGAGCUGUUGUGCUCACGAAAGACGAAGCCAACCUUGCUGAACUCGAGGCAGGGCACCCACUUGGAGCGGAUCAGGUAGUCGACCUGCUUCAGGAGGGCCUCCGUGGAGAGGGGUGGCAAGUAAGACAGGGUCUCGAACUUCUUGAUGCCCUCAAUCGGCCACACCUGAGUGAAUGGAAAUUAUGGAAUGCACACAACUGCUUAACACUUCGUGCUAGUAAAUUGUACGUACUGAGGAAGAAACUCAUAUCAGUUUUGUGCCUCGACAUACCUGCAUGCACCUGAUCCUUCCGCCAUUGCUGACGCUGCCGAGGCUGCCGCUGGAGCGGCGGCUGACGGGCAGACCGGCCGUGGACUUGAGCCCCUGGAAGGGUGCGACGGUGGUAGCCGACGAAGCCAUCACGGCGGGGGCCAUGGUAUUGUAUUAUCGGCGGAGAGGAGGAUGCUGGCUACACUUGAGGCCCCAUUGCCGGGUCACUACCGUAUAUAUAGCCAGACACUUAGCGCCGUUUCUUUGGUACAGAUGUGGCUGGGGUGGCUGACGUUCUCUGGUUGCCUCGUUUCCUUAUCUUCUCCGGAUCAGUGGAAGAAGCAUGGCCGUCGGAUGCAUUGUGUGUGCUGGAAAUUUCAGUCCUUCAUGUCAUUGGGUGGCUGCCACACAACCUUUUUCCAGCUUUUCUUGUUUUUGGUUUCAUUUAAAGCCAAAAGUUUCUCGAGUACAAAUUUUCUGAGAUGCGACUUGAGUGGCGCGGGCAAAAUAUUUUACAUUUUAUCAUAAAAUCUGAUGGCUCAUUCCCUCGAAAGUAUGCCCAUAGACAUAGAGUGUGCGUGUGUGCAUUUAUAGGGGUUAUUGUACAGGCGUGUAUGCAAACGUCUACUAUUGUACACCGUUUCUCGAAAUAAAAUAUAUGUUUUGUUGGUACAAUUAAUUGAACUAGCAUAGUAACCGUCCACACAUAGAACAAGUUCUUUCCCUCUUGCAAGGCAACUAUUGAAAGCUCUCCACCUCUCUAUCUGCCAGUGAGCCUAUGGAUCCGCCUUCCCUCUGCGGGAAGGGCAUUCUUGGUGGCUCAGCUCUGGCUAGUAGAUAAGUAGGGUUUUAGUCCUCAUAGGUGAGGCGCUUGGACGGAUGGCGGCCCUUCUUCUUUGAGCCAAUCUUUCGGGAUCCGAUCCUCUUCAAGUUCCUCUGUCUGGGGAGUUCCGACAUAGAUUCCUGCCAGCUCCUCAAGCGGCGAGGUUAGGAAUUCUCGUCAUGCAUACGCACAUUGAGAUUUGGUGUCAGAUUCUUUAGACCGAUUCAGGGAUUCAACGGCGACGACUGCGGCUCCAGAGCACUGGUUCUUAUGGGCACGUGCAUGAAGACUUCCUGACUGUCAUCGACAAGGUUAGGAUAGCUCCAGAGUGGGAGCAACGACAACGGUGUGUUAGUGGCUCGUCUCUGUGAGUAGGAAGGAAAAAAAGCCCUAUAUCUCGACAUUUUGACAACUAUGUGACAAUGGGAUUGAGCUACUCCAUACCUUCUUUUAAACACUAGUGGGUAGGAAUGAAAAGCUCUAUAUCUCAACUAUUAACACGUAUGGCUAAAUCUGUACCUUGAAUUAUAGGAUAUGCCAAUUGAUCAAUGGUGGGCGGUCUCCCACAUAACAUUGUCUCUCAAAUAGAGCUGCAAAUGAGUCGAGUUCGAGCAAGUUGGACUUGGCUCAGCUCAACUCAUAUUAAAAUUCGAGCGAGCUCAAACUGAGUGAAGCUUAAGGUCAAGCUGUAGAAUAUGACUCAUGCUUAGCUUGUAAUGAUCUCGAGUCGAUCUCGAGCUAGUUUCGAGUUAAAUGAGAUGAUAUAAAAUAUAAAAUUUAUGACUAUUAUUCCAACUAGAUAAGCACAACACGGCAUAAAAAAGCACAAAAAAUAUUAUUCCAAUCAGAACGAGGAUAAUACAACUUUCUUUUGAAAUGAUACAAAUUUGUUAGAAAUAGUUUAACUUAUUCUAUCACAACCGAAAGUCUAGUAUCAACAUAAGAUAACGAUUCAUGACAUAUAUAUAAUUGGGAAAACGAAGAUGCAUAUGCUGGGAACUCUUGCCAGAAAUAACAUAAUAUUUAACACAUAGCGGACCACGUACCAUAAUAAAGCCUAAAUUUUCUCUAUAACUAAUUAAGCUUCGAUGUUCGUUUGUAAAUAAAACGGAGAAAAAUCCUGGAUGACAUAUAUGGUAUUAAAUUAUCGUAUUUUCAUUUAUUAUAUGGCAUGAUCAUUUAACAUAAUGAUAUUAUGCCGAGCUAUGGAGCGAGCCAGUAUUGGUUCAAGAUCAGCCCGUUUCUCGACUAAGCUACAUGAAGUGUUCGUACUCAACUCAUUUCUUUUUGAGUCGAGUGAAAAAACGAGUCGAUCUCGAGCCGCUCACGAGCCUCAAGCUUUUCUUCCAGCCCUAAUCUCAAGCAACGUCAUGUUGAGACAACUCAAUCAUCAUACUUUCCAUCCCAUAUCAGUGGCGGAUAAUGGAAAGACAUUAGUAUCACAAGGCCUGGACCGAAGGCAAUAAGUUCUAUGGAAAACCGUGAUCCCCAGAAUAAUUGUGUUCCUCUCAUGAUAUCGAUGCCCUGUCACCUGGAGGUCUCUCGAUUUGCACCUGGAGUUGAACGUCUCCAACUACACCAAUUGAUCAGAUGUCUCCAAUCACUAAAUUACCGCAAGAGUAAAUAAUAACAUGAAGAGGAAAAACAUGACUAAACAACGCAUAUCGAAUAACAGCUUACAGCUGAUCGACCCAUAGCCAAUGAUUACUCAAAUAACAUCACAUAUAAAAGGGUUUAAGAGGUGUUACAACCCAUUACAGAGACCGUGAUGGGAGGGGGAACGAGAAGGGCUAUGGGUGAGGACGAUGCGGCGACGACAACACUUCUCCGGCAUUGCCUCUUCAAGGUUGCAAUGAUGGAGAUGGAGGCUUGGCACAACCCUCAAGUGCUUUUUGAUGUCGAUGGCAUCUGAACAUAUGGAUUGUGUCCCCGAGUGGCUAGGGUUGGAGGUGUAUUUAUAAGAACUAGCCCCCUUCGUUGAUGUAGCAUCUCUACUUUGAUACAAGUGCUCUAGGUGAGCCCAAUCUUUCCCAAAACAUCCCUUCAUGGCAAAGAAAGUAGUAGGAAUUAACCGGGACAAAAUCCUCAAAGAAUCCUGUCUGAAAGGGCAACUUUCGUGCUUGUCUAGGCCUAAUACGAGCACUGGUACAACCAUUUUUUUAUGUAUCAAAGUUCGUCGAUCGCUUUGGACUCUUUGGUAAAACCGCCGAAACUUUUACAUCCGGACUCUGUUUUUGAUGUUCAUAUGCUCGUUGGAAUCAUGAUAACAGCGCUGAUGCACUUGUGAUAUUAGAUAUUGAUUGUGAGCACUUUGGAAAAUGACCUUUUUCACCCUCUGAAAUGCCCAAGUCUGGUGUCUCGAUGUCCUUCGUUUGGAUUCUUUUCAUCAUGUUAAGUGCAUGAGAGUUCCACAUCACGUACAAACACACAAAGACAAAGAAUACUAAUAAGAAUAAAUAAAGAAUAAACAUUAUGCAAUGCUCGCGCUGCAAAUGUUAAACACUAGAGAUCAUGCAUAUGGACAAUGUAAUUGGCUCAAUGGCACAUGCUAUACGAGAUAAUAGGCGACAAAUGAGCUCUAAACGUGCGUAAAAAUAGGAGCCAUCACUAGGAUCAACGAGAUAUUAUCUUGUGGAACACCUUCCAUCCUUUUGAAUGGUGAGCCCGGUAGACAAUUCCAGUGAAAACAUGGAGUUCACCAAGGCGGCCCACUGUUACCACUUCUAUUUUUAUUGGUAGUGGAUUUACUUCAGUCUAUCCUCAGUGACAUUUAUCAUUGUGGGGAGAUCUUUCAAUCCCAUCUCAUGAUCUAGAAUCUCCAAUUGUCCACUAUGUUAAUGAUAUAUUGUUGAUUAUGCCGGAUAUUGAUUCUCAGCUUCUUGACCUAAAAGAAAUGUUACAACUUUUGUCUAAAUCCACUUGCUUGAAAGUGAAUUUUUGAAAAUCCUCCAUGGUUCUUAUAAAUGUGAUUGCCAAUGAAUCUUCUCAUUGGCCAGUUUGUUUGAGUGUCAACAGGGUAAGAUGCCUUUCACUUACCUGGUUUACCUAUGGGUAACACUAGGCCCAAGAUCUAGGACUUAAUGCCUUUGGUUGAUAUAAUGAAAAGGAAAUUGGCAGCCAUCUCUUCUCUACUCUCACAAGGCGCUAAAUUGAAACUUUUGAGGUCUGCCAUUUCAUCUAUACCGAUAUACUAUCUUUGUAGUUUGUAGACCCCCCCUUGGUAUAAUUAAACAACUGGAGAGAAUUGAGCAGAAUAUAUCUGGCGUGGCAAUGCUGAAAGCAUAAAUCGACCAUUCGCGAUAUGUCAUCUGGUUUGUAAACCAAAAGGAGAAUGGUUGUAUCGGUAUCAUUAACCAUCAUAUUCAGGACCAACCUUUGCUUACAAAAUACUUGUACAAAUUUUAUAAUAAAGCUCAUAUUCCAUGGGUAACUUUGAUAUAGACUUCUUACUAUCAUGGAGUCAUACCUGACGCAACAGUUCUUUGUGGCUCUUUCUGGUGGAGGGAUAUUUGGGAACUUAAUGAUCAGUACAUGGCAAUCUCUUCAAUCAAAGUUAAUACUGGCAACUUUGCCCUGUUCUUGCUUGAUGCCUAGUUGAUUGAGGGAUCUUCUCUACCUCUUCGACAUCAUUUGGAAGGCUCUUUUCAUUGCCUUGGAUAAAAAAAAUCUGUUAAAGAUUUUACAGAAACCCCUGAUCGGACCACUCUUUUGCGCCUGCCAAUUUCUGCUGAGGCGAUAGAUGAAUUGCGACCUAUGGAUGGUUGGUUACAUAGCCUUCAGCGAAAGAUGUUUUUUCUUGGUAAGGAGGAUCAUUUUCCGCCAAAAGCUUCUACUGCAUGAUGCACAAGCACAUGCCCACCGAUGAACCUCUUGCGAAUGGAUAUGAUAGAGCACCAUGAAGAUCAAGAUCUUUGCUUAGAUCCUAUUGUUUUAUCGGUUGAACGCUUGGAACAUGCUUCUUAGAAGGCACUGGCUUUCUCCUCGGGAUGAAACCCAUUGUGCUCACAUCAGGAGAGAGACCACUUGUUUUUCUCCUGUAAUUUUAGUCAAAGGAUUUGGACUUAUUUUACAGAUUGAUUGGAGCCCCAGAUGAAACGCUAGACAAUGUAUUGAUGUUGCAUGUAAACGAUUUGGAUACCAGUGGCGGCGCCAAGAUUUUGAGGGUGGGUAUUCAUUGGCACAAAAAAAUUACUCUAAAUGUAUUAUAAAGACACCAGUACAACAAUAGUAAUUUUUUAAUGCAUCAAACCAUACUAAUUAUACAUAAACAUAAAGACACCAGUACCUUUUGAUUGACAGAUUGGUGAUAUCCCAUCUUACAAUAUAACUUUGCGAUUGCCUUUUUGGAAGAGAUUGAUGACAUCCUCAUCCUUUACUUGAUUGAAGAAUUCUCUCUCAACAAAUGUAACCAAACAAUUGUUCAAGUAAUCAUCACCCAUUUUGCUCCUUAGCUUAUUCUUCACAUAGUUCAUUGAAGAGAACACCCUUUCAACACUAGCAGUAGCUACUGGCAGAAUUAAUACCAACUUAAGAAGCUUGUAAACAAUAUAGUAUUGUUCAUGCUUGUUUGUCUCGACAAGCAUAACUGAAAGCUCACAUAGAUUCUUCAAGUUUUGAAACCUUUCAUCUCUACGCACAUGAGUAACAUACAUGUUUAGUUGCCAUGGAAGUCUUGCCAGUUCAUCACUUGUGAAAUCACUAGCAUAAAACUUUGUAGCAAGCCUAACCAAUUUCUCUUGAUCAUAAGCAGCAAAUAGACGAAGUGGACAAAAUGCUGCCAUGCAAGAAAGUAGAUCUGUGUUUACCUCAUCAAAUCUGCCAUUCAACUCACUAAUUUGCAUAUCAAUGACACUCGCAUACAUAUCAACUUUGAAGCGAUGGUAAUUCGUUGCACCAUUAAAGAAACCCCUUCUAGGCUGGCCAGCGGGAAAGUAAGGACCCUCCAUAUCAACAAUUUUGAUCUUAUGCUUUGUACAAAAAGAUGUGACCUUUUUGAGAAAAUCAUCCCAUCCAGGAUCAGUCCUCAAACCCUCCAAGUGAUACUUUGUGAUAUCAACAAGCUCAAUAGCAUGAACAAUAUCUUGGUCUUGCUUUUGCAAAGCUCUACUCAACUCAUCUGUGUAUCCAAAUAUUUGUUGCAUCAAGUGUGCCAUGAAAACAAACUCUAAUGAUCGAAAUGAUGUCAAUAUGGUUAGAGCCGCUUGCGCCUCCACACCAUGGUACUCUUUUCCAAUCUUGAUGAGGACUCGUUGUAUUGCACCAUACAUACAGAUGACAUGGUUCACGGGUUUGAAGUGAGAGCCCCAACGUGUAUCACAUGGCCUUCCCAAACCCAUUUCCUGAUUCAGCCCACUCCCGGUUUCUACUUCUUCCAAUUCCAAUGCAUCAAUGAGUUCCUCAGCCUGAGCUAUACGAAGCAUUCUCAUAUUUUUACAAGACAUGCCAAGAGAAUUUAACAAGUGUGCAAGUUGUUGAAAGAACUGUUGGGGAACGUAGCAGAAUUCUAAAAUUUUCUACGCAUCACCAAGAUCAAUCUAUGGAGUCAUCUAGCAACGAGGGAGAGGGGAGUGCAUCUACAUACCCUUGUAGAUCGCGAACGGAUGCUUUCAAGAGAACGGGGUUGAUGGAGUCGUACUCGUCGUGAUCCAAACCACCGAUGACCUAGCGCCGAACGGACGACACCUCCGCGUUCAACACACGUACGGUUGGAAGACGUCUCCUCCUUCUUGAUCCAGCAAGGGGAAGGAGAGGUUGAUGGAGAUCCAGCAGCAUGAUGGCGUGGUGGUGGAAGCAGCGGUGAUCUCGGCAGGGCUUCACCAAGCUCCAACGAGAGAGAGAGAGAGGUGUUACGCGGGGAGAGGGAGGCGCCAGAGACUUGGUGCGGCUGCCCUCCCCCCACUUUAUAUAGGGCCCCUAGGGGGGCGCCGGCCCUAGGAGAUGGGAUCUCCAAGGAGGGGCGGCGGCCAAGGGGGACUUGCCCCCCAAGCCAAGUGGGGCGCCCCCCACCCCUAGGGUUUCCAACCCUAGGCGCAGGGGGAGGCCCAUGGGGGGCGCAUCAGCCCACCAGGGGAUGGUUCCCCUCCCACUUCAGCCCAUGGGGCCCUCCGGGAUAGGUGGCCCCGCCCGGUGGACCCCCGGGACCCUUCCGGUGGUCCCGAUACAAUACCGAUUACCACCAAAACUUUCCCGAUGGCCGAAACUAGACUUCCUAUAUAUAAAUCUUCACCUCCGGACCAUUCCGGAACUCCUCGUGACAUCCGGGAUGUCAUCCGGGACUCCGAACAACUUUCGGCUUACCGCAUACUAAUAUCUCUACAACCCUAGCGUCACCGAACCUUAAGUGUGUAGACCCUACGGGUUCGGGAGACAAGCAGACAUGACCGAGACGACUCUCCGGUCAAUAACCAACGUCAGGAUUUGGAUACCCAUGUUGGCUCCCACAUGUUACACGAUGAUCUCAUCGGAUGAACCACGAUGCCGAGGAUUCAAUCAAUCCUGUAUUCAACUCCCUUUGUCAAUCGGUACGUUACUUGCCCGAGAUUCGAUCGUCGGUAUUCCAAUACCUCGUUCAAUCUCGUUACCGGCAAGUCACUUUACUCGUUCCGUAACACAUCAUACCGUGACCAACCCUUAGCCACAUUGAGCUCAUUACAAUGAUGUUUUACCGAGUGGGCCCAGAGAUACCUCUCCGUCAUGCGUAGUGACAAAUCCCAGUCUCGAUUCGUGCCAACCUAACAGUCACUUUCGGAGAUACCCGUAGUGGACCUUUAUAGUCACCUAGUUACGUUGUGACGUUUGGAACACCCAAAGAAUUCCUACAGUAUCCAAGAGUUGCACAAUCUCAUGGUCUAAGGAAAAGAUACUUGACAUUCGAAAAGCUCUAGCAGAUGAACUACACGAUCUUGUGCUAUGCUUAAGAUUGGGUCUUGUCCAUCACAUCAUUCUUCUAAUGAUGUGAUCCCCGUGAUCAAUGACAUCUAAUGUCCAUAGUCAGGAAACCAUGACUAUCUGUUGAUCAACGAGCUAGUCAACUAGAGGCUCACUAGGGACAUGUUGUGGUCUAUAUAUUCACACAUGUAUUACGAUUUCUGGAUAACACAAUUAUAGCAUGAACAAUAGACAAUUAUCAUGAACAAGGAAAUAUAAUAAUAACCAUUUUAUUAUUGCCUCUAGGGCAUAUUUCCAACAGUCUCCCACUUUCACUAGAGUCAAUAAUCUAGUUACAUUGUGAUGAAUCGAACACCCAUAGAGUUCUGGUGUUGAUCAUGUUUUGCUCGAGGAAGAGGUUUAGUCAACGGAUCUGCGACAUUUAGGUCCGUAUAAACUCUGCAAAUAUCUAUGUCUCCAUUUUGUACAUUUUCACGAAUGGAGUUGAAGCGACGCUUGAUAUGCCUGGUCUUCCUGUGAAACCUGGGCUCCUUGGCAAGGGCAAUAGCUCCAGUGUUGUCACAGAAGAGAGUCAUCGGGCCCAACGCAUUGGGAAUAACUCCUAGGUCGGUAAUGAACUCCUUCACCCAGAUUACUUCUUGUGCUGCCUCUGAGGCUGCCAUGUACUCCGCUUCACAUGUAGAUCCCGCCACGACGCUUUUCUUGCAACUGCACCAGCUGACUGCCCCACCAUUCAAAAUAUACACAUAUCCGGUUUGUGACUUAGAGUCAUCCAGAUCUGUGUCGAAGCUAGCAUCGACAUAACCCUUUACGACGAGCUCUUCAUCACCUCCAUAGACGAGAAACAUAUCCUUAGUCCUUUUCAAGUACUUCAGGAUAUUCUUGACCGAUGUCCAGUGUUCCAUGCCGGGAUUACUUUGGUACCUUCCUACCAAACUUACGACAAGGUUUACAUCAGGUCUGGUACACAGCAUGGCAUACAUGAUAGACCCUAUGGCCGAGGUAUAGGGGAUGACACUCAUCUUUUCUCUAUCUUAUGCCAUGGUCGGGCAUUGAGCUGUGCUCAAUCUCACACCUUGCUAUACAGGCAAUAACCCCUUCUUGGACUGAUCCAUAUUGAACUUCUUCAAUAUCUUGUCAAGGUAUGUACUUUGUGAAAGACCAAUGAGGCGUCUCGAUCUAUCUCUAUAGAUCUUGAUGCCUAAUAUAUAAGCAGCUUCUCCAAGGUCCUUCAUUGAAAAACACUUGUUCAAGUAGGCCUUUAUGCUUUCCAAGAAUUCUAUAUCAUUUCCCAUCAAUAGUAUGUCAUCCACAUACAAUAUGAGAAAUGCUACGGAGCUCCCACUCACUUUCUUGUAAACGCAGGCUUCUCCAUAAGUCUGCGUAAACCCAAACGCUUUGAUCAUCUCAUCAAAACGAAUGUUCCAACUCUGAGAUGCUUGCACCAGCCCAUAAAUCGAGCGUUGGAGCUUGCACACCUCGUCAGCAUUCUUAGGAUCGACAAAACCUUCCGGCUGCAUCAUAUACAAUUCUUCCUUAAGGAAACCAUUAAGGAAUGCCGUUUUGAUGUCCAUUUGCCAUAUCUCAUAAUCAUAGAAUGCGGCAAUUGCUAACAUGAUUCGGACGGACUUCAGCUUCGCUACGGGUGAGAAAGUCUCAUCGUAGUCAACCCCUUGAACUUGUGAUAACCCUUAGCGACAAGCCGAGCUUUAUAGAUGGUCAGAUUACCAUCCGCGUCUGUCUUCUUCUUAAAGAUCCAUUUAUUUUCUAUGGCUCGCCGAUCAACGGGCAAGUCAGUCAAAGUCCAUACUUCCUUUUCAUACAUGGAUCCUAUCUCAGAUUUCAUGGCUUCCAGCCAUUUGUCAGAAUCUGGGGCCGCCAUCGCUUCUUCAUAGUUCGAAGGUUCACCAUUGUCCAACAACAUGAUUUCCAGGAUAGGGUUGCCGUACCACUCUGGUGCGGAACGCGUCCUUGUGGACCUUUGAAGUUCAGUAGCAACUUGAUCUGAAGUUUCAUGAUCAUCAUCAUUAUCUUCCUUCCUAGUCGGUGCAGACACCUCAGGAACAAUUUCUUGAGCUGCGCCACUCUCUUGUUCAAGAGGCAAUACUUCAUCAAGUUCUACUUUCCUCCCACUUACUUCUUUCGAGAGAAACUCUUUCUCUAGAAAGGAUUCAUUCUUGGCAACAAAGGUCUUGCCUUCGGAUCUAAGAUAGAAGGUAUACCCAAUAGUUUCUUUAGGGUAUCCUAUGUAGACGCAUUUUUCCAAUUUGGGUUCGAGCUUUUCAGGUUGAAGUUUCUUGACAUAAGCAUCGCAUCCCCAAACUUUCAGAAACGACAUCUUAGGUUUCUUGCCAAACCACAAUUCAUACGGUGUCGUCUCAACGGAUUUCGACGGAGCCCUAUUUAAAGUGAAUGCGGCAGUCUCUAUAGCAUAACCCCAAAAUGAUAGCGGUAGAUCGGUAAGAGACAUCAUAGAUCGUACCAUAUCCAAUAGGGUGCGAUUACGACGUUCGGACACACCAUUACGCUGUGGUGUUCCAGGCGGCGUGAGUUGUGAAACUAUUCCACAUUUCCUUAAGUGCGUGCCAAAUUCGUGACUCAAAUAUUCUCUCCCACGAUCUGAUUGUAAGAACUUGAUUUUCCUCUCACGUUGAUUCUCAACCUCACUCUGAAAUUCCUUGAACUUUUCAAAGGUCUCAGACUUGUGUUUCAUUAAGUAGACAUACCCAUAUCUACUUAAGUCAUCGGUGAGGGUGAGGACAUAACGAUAGCCACCGCGAGCCUCAACGCUCAUUGGACCGCACACAUUAGUAUGUAUGAUUUCCAAUAAGUUGGUUGCUCGCUCCAUUGUUCCGAAGAACAGAGUCUUGGCCAUUUUACCCAUGAGGCAUGGUUCGCACGUGUCAAAUGAUUCAUAAUCAAGAGACUCCAAAAGUCCAUCUGCAUGGAGUUUCUUCAUGCGUUUGACACCAAUGUGACCAAGGCGGCAGUGCCAAAAGUAUGUGGGACUAUCAUUAUCAACCUUACAUAUUUUGGCAUUCACACUAUGAAUGUGUGUAACAUCACGUUCGAGAUUAAAUAAGAAUAAACCAUUGACCAGCGGGGCAUGACCAUAAAACAUGUCUCUCAUAUAAAUAGAACAACCAUUAUUCUCAGAUUUAAAUGAGUAGCCAUCUAGCAUUAAAUGAGAUCCAGAUACAAUGUUCAUGCUCAAAGCUGGUACUAAAUAACAAUUAUUGAGGUUUAAAACUAAUCUCGUAGGUAAAUGCAGAGGUAGCAUGCCGACGGCGAUCACAUCGACCUUGGAACCAUUCCCAACGCGCAUCGUCACCUCGUCCUUCGCCAGUCUCCGUUUAUUCCACAGUUCCUGUUUUGAGUUACAAAUAUGAGCAACUGCACCAGUAUCAAAUACCCAGGAGCUACUACGAGCACUGGUAAGGUACACAUCAAUAACAUGUAUAUCACAUAUACAUUUGGUAUUGUUGGCCUUCUUUUCCGCUAAGUACUUGGGGCAAUUCCGCUUCCAGUGACUGUCUCCCUUGCAAUAAAAGCACUCAGUCUCAGGCUUGGGUCCAUUCUUUGACUUCUUCCCGGCAGCUUGCUUACUGGGCGCGGCAAAUCCCUUGUCGUCCUUCUUGAAGUUCUUUUUACCCUUGCCUUUCUUCACUACUAGGGAAAAGGCUAGCAGCAGCGCGGGUUUUAGACCUAUCAGUAGCGCGGGGUGGUGCGCUACUGAUAAGGCGCUACAGCUAACGAAUAGCAGUAGCGUGCCUCCACCCACGCUACGACUAAAUAGACUUAGUAGCAGCGAGUUCCAGGAGGAGCGUUGCUGGUAAUUAGUAGUAGCGCUUCUCUCUGCCCGCGCUGCUACUAUUAUUUCGUAUUUUAUUUCUUUUUUAUUUCAUGUUGUAUUCGUACACCUUUACACAAAUUUUCAUACAACAGGAAUUUACAAAUUGUUUUUACAUCAUAAUGAGUUAUUACAUCACGGGGUGAAAGAACCGUGUGGACUAGUUUCAAGUGGACGGACAUCCACUUGAAACUAAUCCGCGGUUCUUUCACCCAAUGAUAUAAUAAAUAUCAUCAUCAUCAUAUCAUUAACAACUUAUCAUCAUCAUCAUCAUAUCAUUGGUCACUAGUCGUAAUCACAAGUAUUCCUGACAUCUUCAACUCUAACACAUUGUAUCACAUAAUAAACAUAUUGUACCUCAUAGGACCUACUACAUUCUCUUAGGACCUACUAUAUUCUCUAAGGUAAAAUAGAAAAAAACAAGAUAGCCCCUCGCUCUCCAUUAUGGAGAAUGCAGAUUAUCCUGUCUCCAAUUCUUGCCUUUCACUUAAUGUUGCUUCCAAGAAUCUCCUUACGAAUGUCCAAACAUUUUUUCCACUCUUUGAUUAGCAUGUGUUCACCGGUUUCAGAAAUUCGAUAUGCACAGGUGAGAUCCAUAGGAUGACCUGGCUGUAGGUUCAGAACUUCAAGGCGACCAUUGUAAUACAUCAAAUGAGGCACACAAUCCAUCGGGAUUUUCUAUUGAAAAACAUAGUAAUAACUUCAUAGUUAGCAAUGAUGUACUAGUUUUAGAAGUAUGCAAAAGAUGCACGGAUGUCGUAAUAGUAAAAUAUCUUACCAGGGUAUCUCCAUAGAAGUUAUCGUGGUUUAACACGUGCACUAGUGGCACGUAUUCACCAUAAUUUGGAGGAGUUCGAUAAUAGGUAUUGUAAUUCUCAAAAAAAGUACAAUAAGCAAUCAGAUGAUUUUUCUCCUUAUAAGUUAAUUCGGAGCCAUCAGUGUAGUGGGUUUUGUCUACCAUCUUCUCCACAUUCUUUGAAGAUUCAAAAUAAGCUAUCAAUGGAAAUAAGCUGUCAACUAUUUUGAAAUAAACAAUAUAAAUUAGUUAAUAACUAUGUUUGAGAAACUCACAUUGCGGUAGAAUCGGAAGCGUAUCAACAAGGACCCAAAUGUCCAUAUUGUCUUGCUCAAUGUCAGGAUGACCAAGAUCCAUGGUGACAAUCAUACCCUCAUAAAAACCAUACAUUUUGCAAAGUGCUUCCCAAUUUUGACAACCAAAAUGGGUUACGCUCUGAGAAUUAUACAGAUUUACUUCAAAAUCGAUAUCAUGAUGGGUCCUUAGGUGUAUUUUCUUUGUUUGAAAAUUUUAAUGGUCUUCAAAACCCAUCCUCUCCAAGACAUAGCAUCUUGCAUGGCAUGGGAUAAGCUAGUCAAAUUGUAAAAGAUGAAAAUUAGACAUUGAAAUAGGUGAAGUCAUGCUUAAUUACGAAAAAAACACUUGUCGUUGUUGCGUACCGUUUCAACAUCGAAGGUCUCCUCGAGCUUAAUGCUGAAGCGCCGAUCUUCGUCCAGCUCAACGAACCUGUCGCACAUACCUCGAUCGUCGUGGCACCAGCUGCACUCCCCCGGGAGACCGUCGUAGUCCGAGUACAACAUUUCCUAUGUUCAUAAUUCAAAGAUUAAACUUGUACAAUUAAAUAUAUGUACUAAAAAACCUAAAUUAGAUCAUUAUUUUUCAAAGAAAAUCCAGGCCACUCGAUAUUUCCCACAUAUUCUAGCACAAGUCAUGCCAGAAUUCACGGAAAAAUCCGGCAUGACCUUUGCUAAAAAAGGACAUAUCGAGCGCCUGAAAUUUGCCGAAACGGAAAUUAAUCAACACUCCGGCAAAACAUAGGCCACUCGGAGGUGUAACCAAAACAUGAAAUAAUUGCUUAAACUAAAAAAUAACACCAAAUAUGGCAUGUUCAACUAGUUCUAUUAAUUCAACUAGUUCUAUUAAUUCAACUAGUUCUUACUAAAUAUAAACUUAGUAUAAAAAGAAAAAAACCAGUUCUUUCUAAAAAUGAAGUAGUUCAACUAGUUAUUAAUUUACUUACUAUACUAGUUCAACUAAAACUUAACUAGUUCAACUAAAACUAAACUAGUUCUAUUAAUUCAACUAGUUCUUACUAAAUAUAAACUUACUAUAAAUAGAAAGAAACUAGCACAUCUAGUACUACUAAUUAACAUCUAACUACUACAUCUACUACUAAUUAACAUGUACUACUGCUAAUUAUACAACUAGUUUACCAUCACUACUAGUAAUUAAUAUCCACUACUUCUAAAAAUCAUUAUCUAUGAACCCUAAAUUAACAUCUACUACUACUAAAAUCAUGUACUAACUGAGCAAAGAGAGAGGGGGUUGGGGAGGGGUGGUGGGCUUACAGAGGGAGAGAUGGUGGCGGGGAGGUGCUCGGCAACGGAGGGGCGGCGAGGGCGGGCUCGGGAUCGGGAGGGCGGCGGUCCUGGGCGGCGGGCUCAGCAGGCUCGGUCGAGGGCAGCGGUGGUGAGGUCGAGGGCGGCGACAGUGUGGUCAAGAGCGGCGGCGGUGAGGUUGAGGGCGGGCGGAGGCGGCGGUGAGGGCGCAGGCGCACUCGGGCUCGGGCGGCGGCGACAUGGAGUAGGGGAACAGGCCGGUGGGGGGGGGAGGAGGACUUAGCGAAAUUUUGAUGCGGGGGGUGGUUAACUCGAACUAGCAGUAGCGCACGUAUAGAAAAUGCGCUAUAGCUAGCUUAUCUACAACGCGUUUUGGGAAAAACCGCUACUGCUAAUGGAAGCAGUUGUUUCUUUUGUUUAGUAAAAACAUCAAAAAUAUACAUUGGUCAUCAUUAAUCUUGUUGUGUAUAAUCUAAAUAGUCAACAUGAAUCCUCACUAUACCUGUAUAGGUACAGGCGAGGAUUCAUAUUGCAACCACAAAUCAUACACAUAUAGUUCAAUGAAGACCAAGUGCUCGAGAUAGGUUGAGAAGCAACAUAUUUAAGGUGGUAAACACCUUGUUCGCUUAGCAGUAUGGGACUAAACUUAAUUAGUUGCGGUCAUACUUACCAGCAGCGAGUUUUGAGCAAAACCGCUGCUACUAAGUUCUUUAGCAGUAGCGCGUCCACGGGAAGGGCGCUACUACUAUAUCUAGCCUGGAGGCAACACCGUGGCAAUUAUAGUAGUAGCUCUCUUUUCACCUAGAGCGCUACUGCUACUCAGUCAUUAGCAACGCUCUUUUCUAAAGCUCGUUGCUGCUAAUUAGCAGUAGCGUCUAUUUUUAGACCGCGCUGCUGCUAAGAUUCUGUGUAUAAGGUUUUCCCUAGUAGUGCUUGAACUUAGUGGUUUUAUUCACCAUCAACACUUGAUGUUCCUUUUUGAUUUCCACCUCCGCUGAUUUCAGCAUUGAAUAUUUCUCGGGAAUGGUCUUUUCCAUCCCCUGCAUAUUGAAGUUCAUCACAAAGCUCUUGUAGCUAGGUGGGAGCGACUGAAGGAUUCUGUCAACGACCGCAUCAUCCGGGAGAUUAACUCCUAGCUGAGACAAGCGGUUAUGCAGCCCAGACAUUUUGAGUAUGUGCUCGCUGACAGAACUGUUCUCCUCCAUCUUACAACUGUAGAAAUUGUCGGAGACUUCAUAUCUCUCGAUCCGGGCGUGAGCUUGGAAAACCAUUUUCAGCUCUUGGAACAUCUCAUAUGCUCCGUGUUGCUCAAAACGCUUUUGGAGCCCCGGUUCUAAGCUGUAAAGCAUGCCGCACUGAACCAGGGAGUAAUCAUCACUACGUGUCUGUCAAGCGUUCAUAAUGUCUUGUUCUGCAGGGAAAACAGGUACUUCACCUAGCGGUGUAUCAAGGACAUAUGCUUUCCUGGCAGCUAUGAGGAUAAUUUUCAGGUUACGGACCCAGUCCGUGUAGUUGCUGCCAUCGUCUUUCAGGUUGGUUUUCUCUAGGAACGCAUUGAAGUUGAGGGAAACAUUAGCGUGGGCCAUUUGAUCUACAAGACAUAUUGCAAAGAUUUUAGACUAAGUUCAUGAUAAUUAAGUUCAUCUAAUCAAAUUAUUUAAAGAACUCCCACUCAGGCAGACAUCCCUCUAGUCAUCUAAGUGAUACAUGAUCCGAGUCAACUAGGCCGUGUCUGAUCAUCACGUGAGACGUCAUCGGUGAACAUCUUCAUGUUGAUCGUAUCUUCUAUACGACUCAUGUUCGAACUUUGGGUCUUCCGUGUUUCGAGGCCAUGUCUGUACAUGCUAGGCUUGUCAAGUCAACCUAAGUGUAUUGCAUGUGUAAAUCUGGCUUACACCCAUUGUAUUCGAAUGUUAGAAUCUAUCACACCCGAUCAUCAUGUGGUGCUUCGAAACAACGAACCUUCGCAACGGUGCACAAUUAGGGGGAACACUUUCUUGAAAUUAUGUGAGGGAUCAUCUUAUUUAAGCUACCGUCGUUCUAAGCAAAUAAGAUGUAAAACAUGAUAAACAUCACAUGCAAUCAAAUAGUGACAUGAUAUGGCCAAUAUCAUUUGCUUCUUUUGAUCUCCAUCUUCGGGGUGCCAUGAUCAUCAUUGUCACCGGCAUGACACCAUGAUCUCCAUCAUCGUGUCUUCAUGAAUUUAUCUCGUCAUCUAUUACUUCUACUACUAUGGCUAACGGUUUAGCUAUAAAGUAAAGUAAUUACAUGACGUUUAUGUUGACACGCAUGUCAUAAAUAAAUUAAGACAACUCCUAUGGCUCCUGCCGGUUGUCAUACUCAUCGACAUGCAAGUCAUGAUUCCUAUUACAAGAACAUGAUCAAUCUCAUACAUCACAUAUAUCAUUCAUCACAUCCUUUUGGCCAUAUCGCAUCACAUGGCACAUGCUGCAAAAACAAGUUCGACGUCCUCUAAUUGUUGUUGCAAGUUUUUACGUGGCUGCUAUAGGUUUCUAGCAAGAACGUUUCUUACCUACGCCAAAACCACAACGUGAUAUGCCAAUUUCUAUUUACCCUUCAUAAGGACCCUUUUCAUCGAAUCCGAUCCGACUAAAGUGGGGGAGACAGACACACGCUAGCCACCUUAUGCAACUAGUGCAUGUCAGUCGGUGGAACCAGUCUCACGUAAGCGUACGUGUAAGGUCGGUCCGGGCCGCUUCAUCCCACGAUGCGGCCGAAUCAAGAUAAGACUAGUAAUGGCAAGUAAAUUGAAAAAAUCAACGCUCACAACAACUUGUGCUCUACUCGUGCAUAGAAACUACGCAUAGACCUAGCUCAUGAUGCCACUCUUGGGGAACGUAGCAGAAUUCUAAAAUUUUCUAUGCAUCACCAAGAUCAAUCUAUGGAGUCAUCUAGCAACGAGGGAGAGGGGAGUGCAUCUACAUACCCUUGUAGAUCGCGAACGAAAGCGUUCAAGAGAAUGGGGUUGAUGGAAUCGUACUCGUCGUGAUCCAAAUCACCGAUGACCUAGCGCCGAACGGACGGCAUCUCCGCGUUCAACACACGUACGGUUGGGAAGACGUCUCCUCCUUCUUGAUCCAGCAAGGGGAAGGAGAGGUUGAUGGAGAUCCAGCAGCACGACGGUGUGGUGGUGGAAGCAGCGGUGAUCUCUGCAGGGCUUCGCCAAUCUCCAAUGAGAGAGAGAGAGAGGUGUUACAUGGGGAGAGGGAGGCGCCAGAGACUUGGUGCGGCUGCCCUUCCUCCCCCACACUAUAUAUAGGGCCCCUAGGGGGGCGCCGGCCCUAGGAGAUGGGAUCUCCAAGGGGGGGCGCGGCGGCCAAGGGGGACUUGCCCCCCAAGCCAAGUGGGGCGCCCCCACCCCUAGGGUUUCCAACCCUAGGCGCAGGGGGAGGCCCAUGGGGGGCGCACCAGCCCACCAGGGGCUGGUUCCCCUCCCACUUCAGCCCAUGGGGCCCUCCGGGAUAGGUGGCCCCACCAGGUGGGCCCCCGGGACCCUUCCGUUGGUCCCGGUACAAUACCGAUUACCCCCAAAACUUUUCCGAUGGCCAAAACUGGACUUCCUAUAUAUAAAUCUUCACCUCCGGACCAUUCCAGAACUCCUCAUGACAUCCGUGAUCUCAUCCGGGACUCCGAACAACUUUCGGGUUACCGCAUACUAAUAUCUCUACAACCCUAGCGUCACCGAACCUUAAGUGUGUAGACCCUACGGGUUCAGGAGACAAGCAGACAUGACCGAGACGACUCUCUGGUCAAUAACCAACAUCGGGAUUUGGAUACCCAUGUUGGCUCCCACAUGUUCCAUGAUGAUCUCAUCGGAUGAACCAUGAUGCCGAGGAUUCAAUCAAUCCUGUAUCCAAUUCCCUUUGUCAAUCGUUAUGUUACUUGCCCGAGAUUCGAUCAUCGGUAUUCCAAUACCUCGUUCAAUCUCGUUACCGGCAAGUCACUUUACUCGUCCCGUAACACAUCAUCCCGUGACCAACCCUUAGUCACAUUGAGCUCAUUACGAUGAUGUUUUACCGAGUGGGCCCAGAGAUACCUCUCCGUCAUGCGGAGUGACAAAUCCCCGUCUCGAUUCGUGCCAACCCAACAGACACUUUCGGAGAUACCCGUAGUGCACCUUUAUAGUCACCCAGUUGCGUUGUGAUGUUUGGCACACCCAAAGUAUUCCUACAGUAUCCGGGAGUUGCACAAUCUCAUGGUCUAAGGAAAAGAUACUUGACAUUCGAAAAGCUCUAGCAGACGAACUACACGAUCUUGUGCUAUGCUUAAGAUUGGGUCUUGUCCAUCACAUCAUUCUUCUAAUGAUGUGAUCCCGUUAUCAAUGACAUCUAAUGUCCAUAGUCAGGAAACCAUGACUAUCUGUUGAUCAACGAGCUAGUCAACUAGAGGCUCACUAGGGACAUGUUGUGGUCUAUAUAUUCACACAUGUAUUACGAUUUCCGGAUAACACAAUUAUAGCAUGAACAAUAGACAAUUAUAAUGAACAAGGAAAUAUAAUAAUAACCAUUUUAUUAUUGCCUCUAGGGCAUAUUUCCAACAAGAACCAAGUACAAUCACCACUCUCUUUAGCAACAACAACAAGAGUUAACUGUAGUUGAUGGGCAAACCAAUGAACAUAGUAGGCAGAAGGAGAUUCAUCCAUAAUCAGUUUUUAGGCCAUUAGCAUUACCUUUCAUGUUGCUAGCUCCAUCAUAUCCUUGCCUACGAACCAUUGCAAAGGUCAAAUUGUACUUCAUAAGCAUUUGCUCAAUUGCAGCUUUAAGUGUCAAAGAGGUAGUAAAUUGAACAUGAGCAAGACCAAGAAAUCUUACGACAACCCUUCCUUUCUUUUUCUUAUCAACAUAACACAAGCAAAUUGCCAACUGUUCAUUCUGAUACACAUCACUAGACUCACCUGCAAGUAUUGCAAAGUGGCCACCAUCAAGUUCUUCAAUGACUAAUUUUGUAGUCUCCUGUGCACAACAUUUUAUUAACUCAUGUUGUAUAUCAUGGUGAGUCAUCUUGCAGUUUUGUGGAGCAUUUUUGAGAGCAACCCUAUCAACCUCUUCAAAAUUUCCAGCUAGCCAAUUUAAAAGCUCAAGAAAAUUUCCUUUAUUUAGUGAGUUUUCACUUUCAUCAUGUCCUCUAAAUGCCAAUUCUUAGUGCAAUAGAAAUCUCAAACAUUUGAGUGUCCAUGUCAAACGCUGCUUAUACAAAGCCUUAUAUUGUGAGGUAUUUGAAGCAAAAGACUCCCUAAUUGAUGCUUGUGGUGUGAACAUAUCAUACUUCUCUUGAGCUUCAGCAUGAGCACUACUAACCUCACCUUCAUGUUUCUUCAAUCUCGAUUUCAUGUUCCAGUUCCUAAAUCCAUUCUUCACAAAUGCAUCUCCACCGGGAUAUUUUUUCUUAUCCUUGAACAGAUAGCAAACAAAGCAGAAAGCACUAUCUUUUGUCACACUAUACUCAAUCCAUGGAAAUUCUUUAAACCAAGCACGACAAAAGUGACGGUCAACUCCACUUUUAUUUGUAUACUCAAAGUUAUGAUUCUUUGGUUGACAUGGCUUCAUCUCAAUAUAUCUUCUUCUUACUCUAUCUUGGUCAUUGACAGCAUACAUUGAGAUGGGAAUCCGCUUCCCAGGAUCAGGUUCGAGUGCCUCCAAAUCUGCUUCCAUUGGUUCAUCAUCUGCAUCACUUGUUCCACCAUCUUUAUCAAUUGGGGUUGGGGUUGCUUCUCUGCUCCCCGGUUCACAUUCCACAUCCGGUGCUUGCACUAACGCCAAUUGCAAAUUGCUCUCAAGCUGAACAUGAGAGGUACAAGUACCCGAUGCAGCUGCACUCUGAUUCGGUGUAGACAUUUCAUCAAUCUUGUUUGCUUUUGAAGCUUUUUCCCACAAUGCAAGAAUCCUAUUUCCACCACCAGUCCCAUUCUUCUUCUUCAUCUACAUUACAACAAAACAAGGAAGAAAUUAGCAUCUACAAAUUAACAAAACAAGGAAGAAUCCUACUCCAGCUGCAAAAUCGAAUCAACUAAAAUACUGAAACUCUGUUUUCUUUAAUACUGUACCUGAACGCAGGGCACUGACGCAGGUGGGAGAAAGAAACUGCCGCUAGGCGCUGGACCCUGGGCUGGGCGGCGCCGCGGCGGGCGAUGGGCGGCUGGGGCGGGGCGGGGCGUCGUCGCAGCGAUGCAGUCUGAGGGGCGGCCGGCGGACGGCGAGCACCGGUGGCGCUGAGCGGCUAAGGGCGGAGCGGGGGCGGGGCGGUGGCCGGUGACUUGGUGAGCGGGAGCGGGGGUCGCUCGCGCUGGUCGCUGGAAUGGAUACCCUUUCUUCUUUGAAGUGGUGUUCUCUUGGAACUAAUAUUUGUAUUGAACUUAUAAAGGAUGAGCGGGUUGGUAGUCACAACCGCGGCAUCCACGUCGACUGUGAAUAGGCCUGCGACUCGCGCGGCAGCGAACGAAAAAGCGGCAGCGAAAGAAAAAUAAAUGACCCCACGUCCUCCCACGCCCCUUCCUCCUCCUCUCACGAGUCACGCCCGACCCCCUCCUCCUCCUCCUCUCCUCCUCCUCCUCCUCCUCCCGUCCUUCCUCAAAACCCUAGCCACCGCCCCCUCCUCCUCCCACCUCAGCCGCCGCUGCCGCCUCCUCCUCCUCAUCCUCCCACCUCAGUCGCCUCCUAGGAGAGCUCGACACGAUGGGGUGGCCGUGGAGUGCGCCCCGUCCGGAGAGACAAGGCGGCUCCCGAGCAGGGCAUCCGACAGCGCUGGCUUCUCCUCCCCUGCGCCACCGCUGCCCACCCCUCCUCAUCUCGUGCGGGCACGGAGGUGAGCUUCUCCGACGGCGGCGGCGACCUACAGUCAAAGGGCGACGGCGCUCGAUUUGAUCUACAGGAGAGAGAGAAGAUGAGAGGGAGAGAGAGAAGGAAGGAGAGGAGGUAGAAAUAGAGAGGAAAGAGGAGAGGGAUGUGCCGCGGCCGACGGGAGAGGGUCACCGGAAGGAACAACUGGUCAUCGUUCACACCGCGCUGGGCCAGAGAUGGCUCUGUACAGCCCACACGUCUGCAGGUUCCUUCUUCCUUCCUGCUCCUCUCCUCUUUUGAUUAGCUGUAACUGCAUGUUUGGGUCAGUGCUAUGCCUGCUGUCGCUGGGCAGUACUUUAGGCAAGUCAACCUUCCAAUUCAGUACACGUCUGCACAAGGAGAAGAGCCCCUGUUAGCUUUUCUUUUUGCAGAUUAGCCCAAUAAUCUACAUCAGUCGAUUUGAGGGUAUGUUGAAUGUGAUAUUUAAUGAACAUGGUCAUUCUGUUGUUCAGAGUACACAAGUGGUUACCCUUGAAGUCUCCUCCUUGCCCCGCUUAUUCAUUAAGGUAAUAUUUUGAUUUUCUCAAUUUGUCGCUUCAGUUCCACAUUAACCAUGAAUUGUUGUGUGUAAAUACUCAUAUCCCGUUAAGUUCAUGUGUAUAAAUCAAGUGGGUUGAAGUGUACUGUGAAUUUCCUGAAAAAGUUUACUUGAGAUAUUAUAUGCAUGGUGUGGAUUGUUGAGUUUGCUUGGUUAAUGCCAUGCCUGUGCAGAUCAACAGGGGGGAGGUCCAGGGUGAGACCUUCAAGAGGGAUUUGAUGUUGCUAUUAUUUCAGUUUGCAGAUAGAGGAUGUGAUUCCAGCAAGACAGUGACGAUGGCGAUGACAAGUGAGAUUUAUGUUAAGGAGUAUUAGCAUAUGCUCAUAGGAUCACUAGAAGCAUAUAAAGGUAUCCACAAUGAUGAUUGCUUUCUUAUCGACAAAGAGUUGAAUUAUAAUUAUAGACGGUAAGAGUAGUACCUUUAUAAUCAUAGCUGUAUGCAAUGAUCCAUCAUGUAUUUCUGUUUAAAACCGCAACAUGUAAUUAUUUGAUGUCGUGAAAUGUCUAUAUAUAUAUAUUUUGUUUACAUUCUUAAGUUAGCCUCCAGACUAUCUACAUUGUCAUGGUAACCUUGGUAGGUUAUAAUAUGCAGAUCGAUAAUCCCGGUUCAGUUUGAGCUUUCCAACUUAACUUAACUUAACAGUAUAGUGUUAAUAUUAGGAUCACAACUUAACUUAAAUUAGCAGUAUAGUGUCAAUGGGCAUCAUCUGAAGCUAAUAAGAUGUUGUUACUGAAGAACAGCCCCUUGCUACUUACUUGAACAGUACGUGAAAAACACCCUAAAUAGAUUAAAGAAAUCAUACUUGACUGUGAUUGCAUUUGGUUGACGCUUACGUGUAUUUCUCAUCGGUAGAUCAAGGGGGUAAUCUUCUACAUUUCAGGUCCAAGCUUUCAAUGAAUUUUUCUAUCUUUUUUUCAUAUCCCAAUCAUCGUCUGCAAGGCCGAAGCAUCCAUGUCUAUAUGGUUUUGUGGCACUGAGUUCGUUCCAUGCCAGUUUAUUUCUAACAGUUGGUCUGCUUCUUCAUAGAGAUUUUAUCAGUAUACUAAAUUAAAUAAGAAACUGAAUGUGUACUGCUUUCACCUUCAGUUUGAACAUGAUUGUCCUAUUUGUGACAUAGGUGAAAAUUAGCAAGCAAGCAACAGUCGGUGCAUGGAUGACCAAGUUUACUUUUUACUUUAUGAAGAUGAUGAUUCCUAAAUAGAAUUACGAGCUAGGUCCUGCAUGUUGACCGUGCUUCAAGGUACAGUUGUUCAUGCCUUAUAAAAUUGUAAUGCUUUUUAUUGGUUGUGCAUCCUAGGACCAAAAGCUUGAUUCAUAGAUAGCCGAAGAACUGAGGAAUUUUACUCUCUGUCGUUGCAGGGUAGAAGAGAAUGGGAGGAGGGGACGCGCGCUCCAUAUUUUGUUAUGCACACCUUCCUAAACUAUACUUUUCUUCUUAACAUAUGUUCAUUGUCCAGCAGAAGCUGUAGAUUUUAGCGUACAAUAAUUUCCAAAAUGGUAGAAGGUAAGAACCAUGUUACAUGAUCCUUUUGUGUUCUCUUGAUUUAAAUUAACACGUACCUGUUAAACUUGGUGAUGAUUUUCGAGGUGUAUUUAUAAAUUAUCUGCCAAGGUUAUUCCUUCAGGCAAUUUUUUUCUUCUGAAGCCUAGGCAUAUUGGUUGUUUGGUUGGCUCUCUUUACUAGCAGGAAGAUAACUACUACGUGUUGCUUAGUUGUGUUGCUUAGUUAUUAGCGGAUUGACUGUAUGAAUUAUCUUAUGUUCACCCAGAGUUAUAGGUUUCUAAAUACUAGGCUCUUGGGACUUAAUUCUAAUGGUUAGUUUUUUUGGAUUCAUGUACUCCGGUGCUACAGCCUAGGUAAAGCUCCUUCACAAUAGUAUUUAAAGCUUAUAUUGGUAACUCCAUCAGAGUUCAAGCAUUAGGCUCUCUGCUCUGUGUAUUGCAAAGUGUUCUAUAUAAUGCUUUGAUGUUCCUUUGUCACUGUUUGAUGUUCUACCUGGGUGGCCUCUGUCUUGGUUUACAGCUCCAUAUGGCUACCUAUGUAUACCUAUGUAGAUUUUGUUUGAACUGUACUCAAAUCGUGCAUAUGUUUCUAUAUUCUUGCCUUCCUCUUUUUAACUCAUGAGAUUGUUAGAUAGUUGAAUAUCAUUGGUCUCUGUCGGCAUUCUAUUUUCGCAGUUUGAAAUGAGUAUUGGUCCAUUGAUAUUAAACUUCACAAUAGGUAGUGGCAUCUUCAGGAAAAAGUAGUGGCAAAUAUGCUAGAGAUUUCUUUUUUGCUGCAGGAAUGACACUAUUGCCCAAAUCCUCAACACAUAUUUUUUAGUAACUGAGAGGAUUAUUCACCUUUGCUGUUGUAGGCAUUCAAGAUCUGGCAGGGCUGGGUCAACCGGCCCUUCGUGUUCAAGACCUGGCUCUGAUGAGCCUUGACAGUCCUGCUACCGGCUGGGCAUCGUCAUCCUGAGCCAUGUCCGGAACCAGACCAGUAGGGGCACCCUAAGCGAGCACUCGAGGCAUGCUGUCAAGUUGGACAAGUGCAACCAGGCCAGCUGUUGUGUGUGUCCACGGUUACAUUGUUGUAUUGUUGGUUAAAGACAAUGUUUUUCUUCUUGAAUUAUGAAACCUCGAACAACAGUUGGAUAUAAUCGUUUUGUUCGUUUUGCAAUCAAAGCUUCCAUCGAAUAAUAUUUUAGAAUUGUGCUCUGUCUUAUUCAUAAACUGUGGCUAUUUUGUAGAUUCAUACACGAUACGGCUUUGUGUGCAUUGAAAUAGCAACAAGUUGGCCUCUCGGUCUCAUUUAUGUAUACAUUUGACUCAUACACGCAGCCAGCAUGUCCAUGUGAUCUGGAUGAAUUUCUCUAUCCUGUUUUAUGUUGUGAUGUCUUUGAUUUUUUGUCUCUUCCAGAUUUACAUAUAGAUGCCUCGGUGAAUACUCAAGAAUUUUGUGUUCUUUUCUAUUGACGGCCUUUAGGUAUUUUAUUUUUAUUUUUAUAAUGAUUCUGAAACGAGGUCACUCCCUACUAAUCUUGCUCUCCAGGCCUGGUGGCGGGAUGCUUGGUCAAGAAUGCAGGGUGAGUAAAACAAAACGCUUUUAUCUCUCUGGUCAUCUAGAGCAUAUGGAGGAGCAAGAUAGCGGGCUUUGACAGUGUCUUCACACCGCCCCAGAGGGGGUGCCACUGAGGGCUUUCUCAUGGAACACGGUGCAAUGUGGUUUUAUGCACGCCUAUGAGCAGGCUACCCUGCACGCUGGUCUUCUACUGCUUUCCCAGGCAUAUUACUUCCCCGUGAGAUGCUUCCAAGGGCUCUAUUCGGCUCCAUUGUAUUUUUCUUCUUUUUUGAUUGCUUUUCCUUCUCUGUUUCUUUUUUAUAUGCAAGGCCAUAAAUUUUUACCAUGCAUCCUUGCUCGCAUAGAAAAUUACUUCAAAAUACACAUGCUUCUAAAAAUGCACAUCCUUUUCAAAACUAUGUAUAUCUUAUUAUCAAAGAUUAUAAGGCAGAAUGUGUUUGCCCACGACUAAAACAAGUAAUACAUUGUACUUUUUUCAAAGCACACAUGGAAUUAGCGGGCUCCUUCAGGUAUUUCAAGGGAAAAGCAGAAUAUGUUUAACUAAUUUUCUAUAUUGCUUAUUUAUGCAUUUGUGACCAUAGCUUUCCACUUUAGCUCAUAAACUGGAUGGCAAAAUAGAGUUUGCCCAUUUCAUAUCUAUGUUGUCUUAUUAGGAAAAAAGAUUUUGUUUAAUAGCUGAUGCUUAAUAUGUUUUAUCGACCGUUGAAUGCUCAACUUUAGCUCAUAAACUAGAUGGCAAAUGCUAAUUCUGAUGGGGCUUUUCGCACUUAUUGUUUUAUUGUUGUCUAGACAGCUGAUGGCAUGCUUCUUUCUUGCUAAUUGUCAAUUCUUUUGUACAGGGUCCCUCAGCUACUUAUGCUUUGGUAGACAAUAAGAGUAUGUAGAUAGCAUGUAUGGUUUUUACAUUGUUUUGCGUAGGUUGACAUGCAUCACAUGAUGUUUUCCUUUUACGUUUAUGAGUAUUACAUAGUCCUUUCUUUUUCCACAAGGGGCAGUAGUUGUGCCAUUCGAUUCGAAGGACAAAGAGUUGAUCACAAAGGCGUAGCAUUCAGGAUAUAUACACAAAAGAGUAUAGAACCAAAUUAUAUGAUGUAAUUGACCACUUUCUAUUAACUUCUCUUGUAUACAAUGUUCACGAGUUCAUGUAUUAAGUACAUUUUAUUGUGUCACUUGUGUUUACUCUUUUUUUAAUGCAAGUUUACAGCUACUCAGAGUUCCUAAUUGUAGACUCAACUAUCUUGACCUACUGAUGAUCUAAUUUGUGGCAUUAUUACCUUAAGAAAAUAUUUGCAUUUAAUUUUCUUUAUAUAUAGGGGUAUAAGUUCUGACCAAAUGUACUCAAAUAUACGGUUAUUGAAAAAAUGCAAACAUUUUCAACACGAACAUGGUUUUAAACGGGUCUUUGCGUCAUUUGGCGCAACUGGUCAUCUAGUUAUUACAAAUGGCAAGAUCUUCAUAGGGGAGAGGCCAACCUUUCCUGCUUGGUGUUGUAAAUUUGUACAUGACAUCUCUUCUUGCAGAUAGAGUUAAUGCUUACCAAAGCUCCUGGAUUGGAUUAGUAAUCUCCAUUAGAUAAAUAGGUAGGUAGGAAAGUGUUGAUUUUCCGUUCUUUUCUUGGUUCCCUUUGUAAGCAUUUUUUGCUUGCUUUUGUUUUGAUGGAAUAAAGGACUGUGGAGCUGUUGCUCCAUACUCCCUCCGUUCGGAAUUACUUGUCUUGGAAAUGGAUGUAUCUAGAACUAAAAUACGUCUAGAUACAUCCAUUUCUGCGACAAAUAAUUCCGAACGGAGGGAGUAAUAGUUACAAAAAUCUGAGAUUUUCUUGAUUUUUCACUAGUAUGAUUACACUCCUUCACAAGGAUCUUAUGCCAUGCAUGUUGGAGAUUUAUUUCAAUAGUUCCAUAAUAUGUUUUGAAUGCUGUUGCUAUCUAGUUCAGUUAGAUGCUUAUUAUCCAGACCAACAAAAAUUCUUUAGCAAGGGUCUCUACAAGAAUAUGUUUCAUCCUACUCUACUAGCAAAAACCGAUGGAGUUGCUCGUAGUGACAUGGAAAAGAAACCAUAAUCUUUUUGUAUUGAUAAGUAAAGAAACUGAAAUUUGCAACUGCAAAUCAGGGGAUCUUAAUGUCAAAUACUGAAUGCUUCCACAACUAGUUGUGAGACAUAUUCAUUGCAGUGCCAAAUAAAGAACCUUAUUCAUGAAUUAAUAACAGCAAGACAAUGGUCCGCGUGUUGUAUAUAAUAAAUAUCACACAGGUUUUGUAUAUGUGUAGCCGGUUCUAGAAUUUACAUAUGCAUGCUCGAGAACCUAUGUUCGUACAUACAUACACAGACCAUAUAGAAUGAAAAAUAUGCUCUGGUCGUCCAGCAGAGUCGUGGACAAAAGUGACGUUCACAAAAGACCUUCAUACAUAGGCCAUUGUUUCAACUCGUAGUUUAGGCCUUGCCAGACUCCUCGCAACCCGGUGGCCUGAAGGCGAUGAAGCUGACGCACUGCACCUGGCGCAG